This 266-nucleotide signal recognition particle RNA is filed under the name Savagea serpentis. Its description in RNAcentral is "Bacterial large signal recognition particle RNA". It matches the Rfam family "Bacterial large signal recognition particle RNA". From Rfam's summary of the family: The signal recognition particle (SRP) is a universally conserved ribonucleoprotein involved in the co-translational targeting of proteins to membranes. Archaeal SRP consists of a 7S RNA and homologues of the eukaryotic SRP19 and SRP54 proteins. Lineage: Bacteria; Bacillati; Bacillota; Bacilli; Caryophanales; Caryophanaceae. The record is from Rfam by way of RNAcentral.
CCGUGCUAGGUGGGGAAUUAGCGGUGCCCUGUACUUGCAAUCCGCUUCAGCAAGACUGAAUCCCUUCUCGAGGCUUCUCGUAUUGUAGAGUCUGCCUCAUGCACGUAGUGUUGACGUUUGGGUCCUGCGCAAUGGAAACCCAUGAACCAUGUCAGGUCCGGAAGGAAGCAGCAUUAAGUGGAUCAUUUCAUGUGCCGCGGGGCAGCCUAGGCUGAGCUGGCGACAUGAGUAACGUCUAUGUGCGGUCGUCGACGGAAGGUGCGCGG